RNAcentral lists this long non-coding RNA (264 nucleotides) under Amborella trichopoda. RNAcentral describes it as "long non-coding RNA (ATRI_LNC000802)". Lineage: Eukaryota; Viridiplantae; Streptophyta; Magnoliopsida; Amborellales; Amborellaceae. The record is from RNAcentral.
UUAAGGCAACUCAGAACUCUCAUUCGCGUUAACGCGAAUCGGCUCAAUUAAGCAGUGAGUCAGCUUUUCGAUAAGACGGCAAGUGGAUGGGCCAUUGAAUGCAAAUCGAUCAUUCGAGUCGCGUGAGACAAGAAGAUUAAGGCGAUUGACGGCGGCUUGCUGACAAGGAUUCAGCGGUUCGUGUGAGUUUCAAGGAUGCUACCAUGGAACCUUCCAGCCCGUGACAUCCUCCAAGUACGCUCUUGCCGUUAGCAGUGCUUUUUC